GAAAUGCGAUAAGUAGUGUGAAUUGCAGAAUUCAGUGAAUCAUCGAAUCUUUGAACGCACAUUGCGCCCUUUGGUAUUCCUUAGGGCAUGCCUGUUCGAGCGUCAUUUGUACCCUCAAGCUCUGCUUGGUGUUGGGUGUUUGUCCCCGUCUCCGCGCGUGGACUCGCCCCAAAGUGAUUGGCAGCCGGCGUACUGGUCCCGGAGCGCAGCACAUGUCGCGCAAACGAGUGCCUUGGUACGGCGGCGUCCAUAAGCCCCUCUCUCACGCUCUUGACCUCGGAUCAGGUAGGGAUACCCGCUGAACUUAAGC
Molecule: unclassified non-coding RNA, 310 nt
Filed under: plant metagenome
Description: partial contains 5.8S ribosomal RNA, internal transcribed spacer 2, and large subunit ribosomal RNA
Rfam family: 5.8S ribosomal RNA (bases 1-105)
Source: RNAcentral